GAUGAACGCUAGCGGGAGGCCUAAUACAUGCAAGUCGAGCGGUAGAGUGACUUCGGUUGCUUGAGAGCGGCGAACGGGUGAGUAACGCGUACACAAUCUACCUUUAAGAGGGGAAUAGCCCUGGGAAACUGGGAUUAAUGCCCCACGGCAUCACGAGACGGCAUCGUUUUGUGAUUAAAGACUGAGGUGCUCAGAGAUGAGUGUGCGUCUGAUUAGCUAGUUGGUGCGGUAACGGCGCACCAAGGCGACGAUCAGUAGGGGGCGUGAGAGCGUGGACCCCACCACGGGUACGUGAGACACGGACCCGACUCCUACGGGAGGCAGCAGUAAGGAA
Molecule: ribosomal RNA, 334 nt
Filed under: uncultured bacterium
Lineage: Bacteria
Description: bacterial SSU rRNA
Rfam family: Bacterial small subunit ribosomal RNA
Source: RNAcentral